GAUGAACGCUAGCGGCAGGCCUAACACAUGCAAGUCGAGGGAGAAGCCCUUCGGGGCAGAAACCGGCGCACGGGUGCGUAACGCGUAUGCAACCUACCUUUCACAGGGGGAUAGCCCGAAGAAAUUUGGAUUAAUACCCCAUAAUAUUAUUGGAUGGCAUCAUUUGAUAAUUAAAAUUACGAUGGUGAAAGAUGGGCAUGCGUCCUAUUAGCUAGUUGGAGUGGUAACGGCACCCCAAGGCUACGAUAGGUAGGGGUCCUGAGAGGGAGAUCCCCCACACUGGUACUGAGACAGGGACCAGACUCCUACGGGAGGCAGCAGUGAGGAAUAUUGGUCAAUGGUCGGAAGACUGAACCAGCCAUGCCGCGUGCAGGAAGAAUGCCUUAUGGGUUGUAAACUGCUUUUAUAUGGGAAGAAUAAGGAGUACGUGUACUUUGAUGACGGUACCAUAUGAAUAAGCAUCGGCA
Molecule: ribosomal RNA, 467 nt
Filed under: Capnocytophaga granulosa
Lineage: Bacteria; Pseudomonadati; Bacteroidota; Flavobacteriia; Flavobacteriales; Flavobacteriaceae
Description: bacterial SSU rRNA
Rfam family: Bacterial small subunit ribosomal RNA
Source: RNAcentral